CCUACGGGUGGCAGCAGUGAGGAAUAUUGGUCAAUGGGCGUAAGCCUGAACCAGCCAAGUCGCGUGAGGGAUGAAGGUUCUAUGGAUCGUAAACCUCUUUUAUAAGGGAAUAAAGUGCGGGACGUGUCCCGUUUUGUAUGUACCUUAUGAAUAAGGAUCGGCUAACUCUGUGCCAGCAGCCGCGGUAAUACGGAGGAUCCGAGCGUUAUCCGGAUUUAUUGGGUUUAAAGGGUGCGUAGGCGGCCUUUUAAGUUUGCGGUGAAAGUCUGUGGCUCAACCAUAGAAGUGCCGUUGAAACUGGGCGGCUUGAGUGUAGGUGGGGUAGGCGGAAUUCGUGGUGUAGCGGUGAAAUGCUUAGAUAUCACGAAGAACCCCGAUUGCGAAGGCAGCCUGCCGGGCCAUGACUGACGCUGAGGCACGAAAGCGUGGGGAUCAAACAGGAUUAGAUACCCCUGUAGUC
RNAcentral lists this ribosomal RNA (460 nucleotides) under uncultured bacterium. RNAcentral's name for it is "partial 16S ribosomal RNA". It matches the Rfam family "Bacterial small subunit ribosomal RNA", at positions 338 to 795 of the family's 1533-position model. The record is from RNAcentral.